GGUGGAUGAUGUGGUUUAAUUCGAUGCAACGCGAAAACCUUACCCACCUUUGACAUGGCAGGAAUCCUAAAGAGAUUUGGGAGUGCUCGAAAGAGAACCUGCACACAGGUGCUGCAUGGCUGUCGUCAGCUCGUGUCGUGAGAUGUUGGGCUAAGUCCCGCAACGAGCGCAACCCUUGCCAUUAGUUGCUACGAAAGGGCACUCUAAUGGGACUGCCGGUGACAAACCGGAGGAAGGUGGGGAUGACGUCAAGUCCUCAUGGCCCUUAUAGGUGGGGCUACACACGUCAUACAAUGGCCGGUACAGAGGGUAGCCAACCCGCGAGGGGGGAGCCAAUCCCACAAAGCCGGUCGUAGUCCGGAUCGCAGUCUGCAACUCGACUGCGUGAAGUCGGAAUCGCUAGUAAUCGCGGAUCAGCAUGUCGCGGUGAAUACGUUCCCGGGUCUU
Molecule: ribosomal RNA, 447 nt
Filed under: uncultured Allobrachymonas sp.
Lineage: Bacteria; Pseudomonadati; Pseudomonadota; Betaproteobacteria; Burkholderiales; Comamonadaceae
Description: bacterial SSU rRNA
Rfam family: Bacterial small subunit ribosomal RNA
Source: RNAcentral